UUAGAGUUUGAUCCUGGCUCAGGACGAACGCUGGCGGCGCGCCUAACACAUGCAAGUCGAACGAGCGAGAGAGAGCUUGCUUUCUCAAGCGAGUGGCGAACGGGUGAGUAACGCGUGAGGAACCUGCCUCAAAGAGGGGGACAACAGUUGGAAACGACUGCUAUACCGCAUAAGCCCACAGCUCGGCAUCGAGCAGAGGGAAAAGGAGCAAUCCGCUUUGAGAUGGCCUCGCGUCCGAUUAGCUGGUUGGUGAGGUAAUGGCCCACCAAGGCGACGAUCGGUAGCCGGACUGAGAGGUUGAACGGCCACAUUGGGACUGAGACACGGCCCAGACUCCUACGGGAGGCAGCAGUGGGGAAUAUUGCACAAUGGGGGAAACCCUGAUGCAGCGACGCCGCGUGGAGGAAGAAGGUCUUCGGAUUGUAAACUCCUGUUGUUGAGGAAGAUAAUGACGGUACUCAACAAGGAAGUGACGGCUAACUACGUGCCAGCAGCCGCGGUAAAACGUAGGUCACAAGCGUUGUCCGGAAUUACUGGGUGUAAAGGGAGCGCAGGCGGGAAGACAAGUUGGAAGUGAAAUCUAUGGGCUCAACCCAUAAACUGCUUUCAAAACUGUUUUUCUUGAGUAGUGCAGAGGUAGGCGGAAUUCCGGUGUAGCGGUGGAAUGCGUAGAUAUCGGGAGGAACACCAGUGGCGAAGGCGGCCUACUGGGCACCAACUGACGCUGAGGCUCGAAAGUGUGGGGUAGCAAACAGGAUUAGAUACCCUGGUAGUCCACACCGUAAACGAUGAUUACUAGGUGUUGGAGGAUUGACCCCUUCAGUGCCGCAGUUAACACAAUAAGUAAUCCACCUGGGGAGUACGACCGCAAGGUUGAAACUCAAAGGAAUUGACGGGGGCCCGCACAAGCAGUGGAGUAUGUGGUUUAAUUCGACGCAACGCGAAGAACCUUACCAAGUCUUGACAUCCCUUGACGAUGCUGGAAACAGUAUUUCUCUUCGGAGCAAGGAGACAGGUGGUGCAUGGUUGUCGUCAGCUCGUGUCGUGAGAUGUUGGGUUAAGUCCCGCAACGAGCGCAACCCUUACUGUCAGUUACUACGCAAGAGGACUCUGGCAGGACUGCCGUUGACAAAACGGAGGAAGGUGGGGAUGACGUCAAAUCAUCAUGCCCUUUAUGACUUGGGCUACACACGUACUACAAUGGCGUUAAACAAAGAGAAGCAAGACCGCGAGGUGGAGCAAAACUCAGAAACAACGUCCCAGUUCGGACUGCAGGCUGCAACUCGCCUGCACGAAGUCGGAAUUGCUAGUAAUCGUGGAUCAGCAUGCCACGGUGAAUACGUUCCNCGGGCCCUUGUACACACCGCCCGUC
Molecule: ribosomal RNA, 1372 nt
Filed under: uncultured bacterium
Lineage: Bacteria
Description: 16S ribosomal RNA
Rfam family: Bacterial small subunit ribosomal RNA
Source: RNAcentral